GAGAAAAUUUGGGGGCUUUUGCGUCUCACUUUACCUAGAUAGCACGGAGAAGUUUCUUCGCUCGUUUUGCACACGUUUCUCCUUAGCCGUGCCGGCAUUGCAGGCGCGAGUAAGAGCGGGUGCGAGGGAGAAAAUCUGGGGUCUUUUCGUGGGUCUUUUGCUCGGACGUCGGACACUUUCAGGUACGUCGGACAGACUUUCUCGCGCUUGCGGCGCUGGUGCUGAGUCAGUCAUGCCGGAUUAAACCUCUCUUGCCCCUUACGACGCUAUAUAUUAAAAAAAAAAAAAAGAAACUGAUUUUUCCGGAGGUGCAGUAUGGGCCGAAGUAGAGGCCCGGCCUGCUCUCCUGGUGCAGUAUCUUCGCUCUUGGCAAGCUUUUCGUAUGCUGCUGUCCGCGACUUUUCAGAAGAAUUUUUAGUCCUCUUUGUGUGAAAUAAACGCACAGCGCCUUAUCACCCGCGAUUGAACGCCACCGCCUGGUGUCACGCCGUGAGAAUUAUUGGCUUUGCGUCUCGCCCACGUUGUUAGGUAAGGUUAGCUUAGGUUCUUAGUUAGGUUAGCGUAAAUUUAAGGCGUUACGGUGGCGCCGCGUAUUCUCACAGCGGUUAAGCCGCGCGGAUUUUUGUCUUUAUGUAUCGGCGAAGUUAGCUUAUGUUAACGUUAGGUUACGUUUUUUUAGGUUAGCUAAAAGGCGUCAGGGUGGCGCGGCGCAUUCACACCGGUUUCGCCGUGACGAUUAUUCUCUUUUCGUCUCGGCCACGUUUGGUUACGUUACCAUUAGGUUAUGUUUGGUUAGGUUAGCGUAUGAGGCGUUAAGGUAGCACUACGUAUUCUCGUAGCGGUUGCAGGGGCGUCGAGCGUCACCGGCGACCUUUGCGCCGCUUGCGUUCAACCGCGGUUGCUAAGGCGCUCUGCUUUGCCUUCUAGAUUUUCAAUAUAUGCGGCCCGAGUUCUACUACGGUCCCCACUGCUCCCACGGGAACAUCUGUGGUGUUGUUUUCAUGGUACAUCGUCGUAAGGCGCGAGAAAGGUAUGAUCCGGCACGACUGACUUAGCACGAGCACCGCAGGUGCGAGACAGACUGUCCGACACAGCGGUCGCCAAAUGGGGCGUCCGGUACCCGCUGCUUCACCUAUUUUACCGCGCCGGCAGCCAGCGUCCGAGCGUAAACAAACUCGACUCCACUCAGCAAUGCCGGCACGCCUAGGGACAAACGCAUACAACACGCGCUAAGAAACCUCCUGCGUAGUGCCUAGGCAGAGUCAUAUAUAUAUUCAAGGAGCAAAAGCCCCCACAUUAUCUCUCUCGCGCCCGCUCUUACUCGCGUCUGCGCACAAACGUCGGGCGAUCCCUCAAAUGAACGUCUCGUGGGUGCUAUUUGGAGGUUAAAAAAAAAUGUAUCCACCGAGUUGGAGUACACUUAAUAAAAUGGUAGGUGACCCUAAUCUUUGACUUAGGUGUCUCUUUGUGGCACUGGCACCUCGGCACCUCGGUGUUCUAGGUAAACUUUAGGUGUCCACGAAAGGCCCUCACCCCGCCCUUUACCUGGCAGCCUGAGCGAAGAAGAAAGGGGGGUGGGCAACGACGAACGAACUAGGUGUCGCCAGUUGAUUUCUUUCCACAGAUUCCAAACCAGUUCCGGAGGUGGAGUUACUGCGGGUUAUUGCGAGCAUGGGCGUGGUAUCGCAACGGAGUGUACGAUGAUUUGCUGCUGGAUAGUCUUCAGGUUCCCUAGUAGACUCGCGUAGGGAAAACGACGGGAUUAAAAGCAGAGACGUUUCGAGAGUGAGGACAGAGGGUCCUGAAGAACUGAGAUUUUAACUGCUCCUGCAUGGAGCGUACUUCCUCACUGGAGCCGUGUAACUAAGCUAAAUAAACCCUUUUUCGUUCAUUUUCUACAACUUGACGUAGUAGUCGAUGGGCUUGGUGGAUUCCAUGCCCUGAACGCCAUCCUAGCCGCAAUAAACUGGUUGUCAGUAGUGAGAUCAAGAAGAAAGUCCUUACGAUCUGGAAUCGGCGGACUGUGCACGUGGUUCCGGGAGACAAGAACUUCGCAAGGUCGAGGGAAACUAGGGACGGUAGAGCGACUUCUGCGGAUCCGGGAUCAGCAGACCUCUUCGUGGCUCAGAGAGGCACAACCGUCGCAGUAACGGCGUGGAGUUUUGGACGACUCGAGGAAUUUGGAAGGAAGAGAUCAAGAAGGCACUCCUCACGAUCUGGGAUCGGCGGACCUGUGCACGUGGCUCCGGGAGACACGAAGUUCGAAGAUCGAGGGAAACUACGACGGAAGAGCGACUUCUGCGGAUCCGGGAUCAGCAGACCUUCUCUUCGUCACUCAGGGAGACACAACCGUCGCAGUAACUGCGUGGAGUCUUGGACGACUCGAGGAAACUGGAACGAAGAGCAGCUCAAGGCAGUUCCACCAUCUGGGAUCGGCGACCUGCGAACGUGGCUCUGGGAGACACGACCUUCGCAAGCUCGACGUUGGGCCUCAAACGAAGAGAAGGGACAUAAAUUAUACCGAAGCAAUCAUGUUGUCGACAUGACAAAAUAAAGCGCGGACGUGCAACUGAGCGUUUUGAAACGACGAUGCGUGCGACAGGCCAAUGCACGCCUGGAGGUAUGCGCCGUCACAAUCGCGAUUCCUGUGAACCAGGAUACCUGCCAUAAAACGACGUGUGACAACUCUCUUCACCAGUUGGCUUCUACAUUUCGAAGUUUAGAUCACUGUGCAUCCGCAAGUAGGCAUAAAUAGUGCGGAGCUAGCUGAAGGCAUGCAGGCGUAUCUCAACGUUGCGGAAGAGUGCAAGAAGCUGAUAUCGCGAUACAGGCCCUCUCGAUGAACGGAGGCCAAGACGUGCGAGCGGGAAGACCCAACCAACCGAGAACAAGAAACUGGCGAGCAGGCAAUAUUCUACGUAUACAGAGGCACGAGCACGUACCGUUUGUGUGACCAGGUGUGGCCCUGGCUUCCAGCUUAAUGCUUCCAACUCCGAUUGCG
Dermacentor andersoni is the source of this 3001-nucleotide long non-coding RNA. RefSeq lists it as uncharacterized. The record is from RefSeq and is a predicted model, not a curated record. Lineage: Eukaryota; Metazoa; Arthropoda; Arachnida; Ixodida; Ixodidae.